Molecule: long non-coding RNA, 4150 nt
Filed under: Homo sapiens (human)
Lineage: Eukaryota; Metazoa; Chordata; Mammalia; Primates; Hominidae
Description: non-protein coding lnc-KCNE1B-2:1
Source: RNAcentral
CUGAGCACUGCUUGGAUAAGCCAGGUGCAAUGUGCAUUAUUGAAGGCCCUGUGGACAGCUGGGAUAGCCCAGUGAUGCCCAAGGGCCUAGUCAAAAGUGGACAAAGCACAUAUUUGGAUGGACCUGGGAGAUCCUGCUCAGAGAUUCUGACAGGACAAAGGUAAAGGAAGGGCCAGAGUGGCUGGAGAGAUGGUCACAGUCUAUGGGCUGCACAGGAUGGAGGAGGCUGGGGAACAGGCAGGGUGGGCAGUUGGGGUUCAGGGAGAGGCAGGUGCAUGCUGGGAGGUCAGACCCUGUGAGGGCUUUGGGGGCGUCAGGUUGGGUAGGCUCCAGGCACUCUCACUCACAUAGGAUUCCAGAACACUGCUACAAGGCUCUGAGUGUUUGUCCCUCACAUAGGAUUCCAGAACACUGCUGCCAUUGUCUGAAUGUUUGUCCUCCACAUAGGAUUCCAGAAGUCUGCUGCUGGGGUCUGAAUGUUUGUCCCCCAUCUAGGAUUCCAGAACACUGCUGUGAGGGUCUGAAUGUAUGUCCCUCACAUAUGAUUCUAGAAUAUUGAUGCUAGGGUCUGUAUGUUUGCCCUUAACAUAUGAUUUCAAAACACUGCUCCUGGAUUCUGAAUGUUUGUCCUUCUCAUAGGAAUACAGAACACUGCUGCUGGAGUCUGAAUGUUUGUCACUCACAUAGAAUUCCAGAACACUGCUGCGAGGAUCUGAAUGUUUGACCCUCACAUGGGAUUCCAGAACACUGCUGCGAGGGUCUAAAUGCCUGUCCCUCACAUAGGUUUCCAGCACAAUGUUACGAGGUUCUGAAUGUUUGUCCCUAACAUAGGAUUCCAGAGCACUCCUGCUGUGCUCUGAAUGCUUCUCCCUCACAUAGGAUUCCAGAACACUGCUAUGAGGGUCUGAAUGCUUAUACCUCAUAUAGGAUUCCAGAACACUCCUGCUGUGGUCUGAAUGUUUGUUCCUCACAUAGGAUUCCAGAACACUCCUGCCGUGGUCUGAAUGUUUGUCACUCACAUAGGAUUCCAGAACAUUCAUGCUGGGGUCUCAAUGUUUCCCUUAACAUAGGAUUUCAGAACACUGCUCUUGGGGUCUGCAUGUUUGUCCCUCACAUAGGAUUACAGAACACUGCUGCUGGAGUCUGAAUGUUUGUCAGUCACAUAGAAUUCCAGAACACUGCUACAAGGGUGUGAAUAUUUUUCCCUCACCUAGUAUUCCAGAACACUGUUGCAAGGGUCUGCACGUUGGUCCGUCAUAUAGGAUUCCAGAACACUGCUGCUGUGGUCUGAAUGUUUGUCCCUCACAUAAAAUUCUGGAACACUGCUACAAGGGUCUGAAUGUUUGUCCUUCACAUACCAUUCCAGAACACUGCUGCCGUGGUCUGAAUGUAUGUCCCUCACAUAGGAUUCCAGAACACUGCUACUAGGUUCUGAAUGUUUUUCCCACACCUAGGAUUCCAGAACACUUCUGCUGGUGUCUGAAUGGUUGUCCCUCACAUAUGAUUCCAGGACACUGCUAUGAGAGUCUUAAUGUUUGUCCUUCACAUAGAAUUCCAGAACACUGCUCCCGUGGUCUGAAUGUUUGUCCCUCACAUAGGAUUCCACAACACUACUGCUGGGGUCUGAAUGUUUGGCCCUCACAUAGGAUUCUAGAACACUCCAGCUGGCUUCUGAGUGUUUGUCCCUCACAUAGGAUUCCUGAAGACUGCUGCUGUCGCUAUAGUCGUUGAGAGUGUCUGAAUGUUUGACCUUCACCAAACACCAAAUAUCCUGGCCCUUUAGUCUUGUACUUUCCAGCCUCCAGAUCUGUGAACAAUAAUCUCUGUUGUUUAUGAAUUACUCAGUCUGAAGUAUUUUGUUAUAGUAGCCUAAAGAGACUAAGAGAGCAUCACCUGCCCUGUCACCUCAUCACCGCAUUACUGAAGCUAUACUAACAACAGUCACUUUUAGUGGGUACUUCAUGCAUCAGAAUAAAGGGAAAAAAUUGCAAGGCUUACUAAAAUCCAAAAAAAGAAAAAAAUACAAUUUGUGUCAACAGAGCAAGCUUCAGAAGCAGACAAAGAUAUGAUCUUGGAAUUUUUUUUUAAACCUCUGGAGAAUAUGCUAAGGGCCUAAUGAAUGAAGUAGACAGUAUUCAAGUGUAGAUGGGUAAUGUAAUGAGAAAGACAGACAUCGUAAGAACUUUCAACAUAAUGUAGUGAUGAAAAACGUGGUAAAUAACUGAAGAAUACCUCUGAUGGCUUAUUAGUAGACUGGACUCAGCUGAGUAAAAAUCUCUGAGCUUGAGGAUUUAUCAUCAGAAACUUCGAAAACUAAAGAAAAGAAACACUGAAAAGAACAGAAGAUGAUAUUCAAGACUGUGGGACAACUACAAAAGGUGAAACAGUAAUGAGAAUACCAAGAGGAGAAGAAAUAGAAGAAAGUUCUGCAACAACCAUGUCUGAGAACUUCCAGUAUUAAUGUCAGACACCAAACCAAAGAUCCAGGAAGCUCUGAGAACACCAGGCAGAAUAAAUACCAACAACCUACACUUGGACAUAUAAUUUUCAAACUAUAUGAAAUAAAAGAUAAAGGAAAACUCUGAAAGAAACCAGAGGUGGGGCAGAAAACACCUUACCUACAGAGACACAAAGAUAAGAACUGCAUUCAACAUUUCAGAAACUGUGAAAGUAAGAAGACAGUGAAAUGAAAAAUUCAAAAUGUUGACAGAAAAAACCCACCAACCUAAGUUUCUGUACCCACUGAAACCACCCUUCAAAAGUGAAGGAGAAUUAAGGCCUUCCUCAGAAAAAUAAAAAUUCAAGAAACUUGUUGCCAGGAGACCUGUCUUGCAAGAAAUGUUAAAUGAAAUUCUUUAGGGAAACAAAAGAUAUAUAACUGAAACCUGGAUCAACAUUUUUUUAAAAAGAGCAUUAAAGAAAGAAUUGUGGUACAAUAAAAACCUAUGUAUUUAUUCUUAAUUGAUCUGACCAAGAAGAUCAUAGACAAUAACAAAUACAGAUAUAUUAUGUAUGCUUAUAUACAAUUGAAAUGAGUAACACUAAUACAAGGAAUGGAAUGGAAGGAUGGUAGGGAGGAAUUAGGUGUGUUCUUUGUUAAGCAGGUAGUCUUAUUUGUGGGAUAGUGGGAUAGUGUUAUUUGAAAGUGGACUUGAAUUGGUUGUAAAUGUUACUGAGGAAUUAGGUGUUUUGUUUGUUAAGCAGGUAGUCUUAUUUGUGGGAUAGUUGGAUAGUGUUAUUUGAAAGUGGACUUGAAUUGGUUGUAAAUGUAUAUUGCAAAUUCUGUGGCAACUAGUUAAAAAAAAGUUUUAAAAAGAGAAGUAUGUACUAAGAAAGACAGGGAAAAUGGAGUCAUCUAAAAUCAUCAAUGAAAACUGCAAAAGGCAGAAAAAGAGUGGUAGACAAAAGAAUGAAGACUGAGGAGAAUGAAUAGAAAACAGUAACAAAUAUAGUAGAUAUUAAUCCAAUGAUAUCAAUAAUCACUUUGAAUGUUAAUGGUAUGAAUGUACCAAUUCAAAGGUAGAGAUUGUCAGAGUCUAUCAAAAGACAGACACAUCUUGUUUCACUGCACUUUGCUUUAUUGUGUUUUGUGACCAUGUGUUUUACGUAUUGAAGGUUUGUGGCCACCCUGCAAUAAGCAGGUCUCACUGGCACCAUUGUUCCUACAGCACGUGCUCACUUCACGUCUCUGUGUCACAUUUCGGUCAUUCUCACAGUAUUUUAAGAUUUUUAUUAUUGAAUCUGUUGUGGUGAUCUGUAAUCAGUAAUCUUUAAUGCUACUGUUGUCAUUGUUUUGGGAACCACAAAUCACACCAGGAUAAGACAGCAAACAAUUGACAAAUGCGUUUGUUCUGACUGCCCAACCAACGGGCCAUUUCUCUUUCUCUUUUUCUCAGGCUUCUUUUUAUUAAUAUUAAAAUGUGGCCAAUUAAUAACCCUACAAUAGCCUCUAUAUGUUCAUGAAAGAAGAGUUGCAUGUCUGUCACUUUAAACCAAAAGGAAGAAAUAAUUAAGCUUAGUGAGGAAGGCAUGCUGUAAGCAAGACAGGCCAGUAGCUAGACCUCAUGCAACAAACACUUAGCCAAGUUGUGAAUGCAAACGAAGUGUUCUGGAAAGAAAUUUAAAGUACUGCUCCAGUGAACACAUGAAU